GACGAACGCUGGCGGCGUGCUUAACACAUGCAAGUCGAACGGAACGGCCCUGCUUUUGUGGGGUCCUCUAGUUGCGACCUGGUGACUAACACUUGGGUACCCUGCCCUUCACUUUGGGAUAACUUCAGGCCACUGGGUCUAAUACCGGAUAGGAUCUCCUGCUUCAUGGUGGGCGUUGGUAGGUUUCGCCAGUUGGGGAUGGACUCGCCGCUUAUCAGAUUGUUGGUGGGGUAGUGUCUUACCAUGGCCUUGACCGGUAGCCGUGCUGCGAGGGGGACCGGCCAAAUUGGGACGGAGAUAAGGCACAGACCCGUAUGGGAGGCAACAGUGCAGAAUGUUGUACAAUGGGCGGAAGGCAGACGCAGCAACGCAGCGCGCGGGAUGACGGCAUUCGGGUAGGAAACCGCAUCCGCCUGUCACGAAGCGUGAGUGACGGUAAUGGGUAAAGAAGCACCGGCUAACUACGUG
Molecule: ribosomal RNA, 468 nt
Filed under: uncultured bacterium
Lineage: Bacteria
Description: partial 16S ribosomal RNA
Rfam family: Bacterial small subunit ribosomal RNA
Source: RNAcentral